Molecule: transfer RNA, 71 nt
Filed under: Larimichthys crocea (large yellow croaker)
Lineage: Eukaryota; Metazoa; Chordata; Actinopteri; Sciaenidae
Rfam family: tRNA
About the family: Transfer RNA (tRNA) molecules are approximately 80 nucleotides in length.
Source: Rfam by way of RNAcentral
GACACUGGUGCAAUGGUAGAGCGCCUGACUCCCGAUCAGAAGGGUUGUGUGUUUAAAUCACGUCAGGGUCA